RNAcentral lists this ribosomal RNA (498 nucleotides) under uncultured bacterium. RNAcentral describes it as "partial 16S ribosomal RNA". It matches the Rfam family "Bacterial small subunit ribosomal RNA", at positions 30 to 523 of the family's 1533-position model. The record is from RNAcentral.
AUUGAACGCUGGCGGCAUGCCUUACACAUGCAAGUCGAACGGUAACAGGUCUUCGGAUGCUGACGAGUGGCGAACGGGUGAGUAAUACAUCGGAACGUGCCCAGUCGCGGGGGAUAACGAAGCGAAAGCUUUGCUAAUACCGCAUACGAUCUACGGAUGAAAGCGGGGGAUCGCAAGACCUCGCGCGAUUGGAGCGGCCGAUGGCAGAUUAGGUAGUUGGUGGGGUAAAGGCUUACCAAGCCUACGAUCUGUAGCUGGUCUGAGAGGACGACCAACCACACUGGGACUGAGACACGGCCCAGACUCCUACGGGAGGCAGCAGUGGGGAAUUUUGGACAAUGGGCGCAAGCCUGAUCCAGCAAUGCCGCGUGCAGGAUGAAGGCCUUCGGGUUGUAAACUGCUUUUGUACGGAACGAAAAGCUCUGGGUUAAUACCCUGGGGUCAUGACGGUACCGUAGGAAUAAGCACCGGCUAACUACGUGCCAGCAGCCGCAGUAA